This 397-nucleotide ribosomal RNA is filed under the name uncultured Rhizophagus. RNAcentral's name for it is "eukaryotic LSU rRNA". The record is from RNAcentral. Lineage: Eukaryota; Fungi; Glomeromycota; Glomeromycetes; Glomerales; Glomeraceae.
GUGAAAUUGUUGAAAGGGAAACGAUUAAAGUCAGUCGUACCUACGAGUGAUCAACCUACUCGAGUGCGAUUUUGUGGGUAUGUUUGAGCUUAAAAACCUUCAUGCUUACAAAUUGGUGCUCUUUGGGCGUACUUUCUCGUAUGGUAGGUUAACAUCAAUUUCGAUCGUUAUAAAAUGACUGGAGGAAUGUAGCUUCGACCUCGGUUGAAGUGUUAUAGCCUUUGGUAGAUGUAAUGAUUGGGAUUGAGGAUUGCAACGGAUACCCUCUGGGCUACCUGUCUGAUCUCUGAUCGUUGCUUUGGUGCUGAAAGCGUGCUUAUAGUUAUCAAAGUCGAUGGUUAAUAGGUUAGAAUGGGUUAAAUUCGUUAAGGAUGUUGACGUAAUGGCUUUAAACGAC